AGACGUCUACGAGUUUGAUCCUGGCUCAGAACGAACGCUGGCGGCAGGCUUAACACAUGCAAGUCGAACGGUUGUAGCAAUACAGCAGUGGCAGACGGGUGAGUAACACGUGGGAACCUUCCUAGGGGUACGGAACAACUCAGGGAAACUUGAGCUAAUACCGUAUACGUCCGUGAGGAGAAAGAUUUAUCGCCCUUAGACGGGCCCGCGUCGGAUUAGGUAGUUGGUGGGGUAACGGCCUACCAAGCCUACGAUCCGUAGCUGAUCUGAGAGGAUGAUCAGCCACACUGGGACUGAGACACGGCCCAGACUCCUACGGGAGGCAGCAGUGGGGAAUCUUGGACAAUGGGCGCAAGCCUGAUCCAGCCAUGCCGCGUGAGUGAAGAAGGCCUUAGGGUUGUAAAGCUCUUUACCAGGGACGAUAAUGACGGUACCUGGAGAAUAAGCCCCGGCAAACUUCGUG
Molecule: ribosomal RNA, 463 nt
Filed under: uncultured bacterium
Lineage: Bacteria
Description: bacterial SSU rRNA
Rfam family: Bacterial small subunit ribosomal RNA
Source: RNAcentral